Momordica charantia (bitter melon) is the source of this 902-nucleotide non-coding RNA. The record is from RefSeq and is a predicted model, not a curated record. NCBI's taxonomy places the organism in Eukaryota, Viridiplantae, Streptophyta, Magnoliopsida, Cucurbitales, Cucurbitaceae.
GAUUCCAGCAUCACAUAUUUGAAGCCAACACGAUUUGCCAACCAAAGCGCCUCCUUGACAGCUAGUAAUUACAAAACUCGAAAGCGUGUACAUGACCUUCAACUCAGUAUCUCGAACAUGGACCCCGAUCAAAGUCUGGUUAAACCUCGAAUGGCAGGAGGCAUCACACGGAACUCGAACCCAGCCCACAUCAAUAUAAAUCGGGGAAGGAGGAGACUCUGACCGCGCCGACGCGCACUGAUUUGGAGGAAGGCGUUGUAAUUGGGACCGAAAAGCCAUAAGAAAAUCGAUCGGAAGAGUGUCGGAAAGGGAGUGCCAAAUAUCCACGAAAUUUCCCCUCAGGGUCUUCGUCUUCCACCAAGAAGGUUUGGAAGCUAAAGAAUAAGUAUAAAGGAAGUGCAAAAAUCCAGAGAAGAGUAUGUAGGAUAAUUUCAAGGCAGAGCAAAUAAAUGCUGGAGCGAGGCAAAGUUGGAGCAUGGAUUCACUGUGCAAUAACAGCCCAGACACAGGAUUUAUCGUGUCCGUAGAAUUUUAAGCUAGAUGCCCUAAAUUUGGAACCCGAUAUAAAAGGGGAAUGUUGCCCUAGCCGCCAGAGAGAUAUCCCAAGGGAAGCACGUUUUUUUAGAGUUGAAACAACAAGGGGAAGGAUUCUCUCCAUUUUUGGGGGUAUAAAGCUGACGAUAGGGGGGAUAUUCUACUGUAAUUUCGAGUUGUCAUCCUCUUCUUUUUCAGUUUUUCUGCUAUUUCCCUAAGAUGGAUUGUCUUCUUCUUUUACCCAUUUUAUUUUCUUCUUCAUUUAUGAGCUAAACCACAUUUCGGGGGAGAUUUCCAUGUUGUAACUGCUGUAAACUGAACCUCUAAUUGCUAUAUUCGUUUUUAAAUGAAGCUGAAUUAAUUUCUGA